RNAcentral lists this ribosomal RNA (461 nucleotides) under uncultured bacterium. RNAcentral's name for it is "bacterial SSU rRNA". It matches the Rfam family "Bacterial small subunit ribosomal RNA", at positions 28 to 519 of the family's 1533-position model. The record is from RNAcentral.
GAUGAACGCUGGCGGCGUGCCUAAUACAUGCAAGUUGUGCGGUAACAGAGAGAGCUUGCUCUCUGCUGACGAGCGGCGGACGGGCAGAGUAACGCGUAGGAACAUACCCCAAACUGAGGGAUAACUGCUCGAAAGAGUAGCUAAUACCGCAUGUGGUCUUCGGAUUAAAGCUUCGGCGGUUUGGGAGUGGCCUGCGUCCGAUUAGCUAGUUGGUGAGGUAAUUGCUCACCAAGGCGACGAUCGGUAGCUGGUCUGAGAGGAUGAUCAGCCUGACUGGAACUGAGAACGGUCCAGACUCCUACGGGAGGCAGCAGUAGGGAAUUUUCCACAAUGGGCGAAAGCCUGAUGGAGCAACGCCGCGUGCAGGAUGAAUGCCUUCGGGUUGUAAACUGCUUUUCUGUGUGAAGAAUAUGACGGUAACACAGGAAUAAGGGUCGGCUAACUACGUGCCAGCAGCCGCG